Molecule: non-coding RNA, 136 nt
Organism: Firmicutes bacterium CAG:137_57_8
Lineage: Bacteria; Bacillati; Bacillota
Source: Rfam
AUCGAUAAAAGCGUACGCAAUGGACGCCCUUAUCAGCCAUCCCCGUAUGCGUAAAGUCAUACCAACGGCUUUAUGCGUAAAUCCUGUAUGGGCCUGGGCCAUUACAACGGCAGGGUACCAACAACAAUACAAGGAG